RNAcentral lists this ribosomal RNA (655 nucleotides) under uncultured Brachybacterium sp. Its description in RNAcentral is "bacterial SSU rRNA". It matches the Rfam family "Bacterial small subunit ribosomal RNA", at positions 54 to 721 of the family's 1533-position model. Lineage: Bacteria; Bacillati; Actinomycetota; Actinomycetes; Micrococcales; Dermabacteraceae. The record is from RNAcentral.
CAUGCAAGUCGAACGAUGACGACCGAGCUUGCUCGGUCUGAUUAGUGGCGAACGGGUGAGUAACACGUGAGUAACCUGCCCCCCACUUCGGGAUAACUUCGAGAAAUCGUGGCUAAUACCGGAUAUGAACUUCCGCCGCAUGGUGGUUGUUGGAAAGUUUUUCGGUGGGGGGUGGACUCGCGGCCUAUCAGUUUGUUGGUGAGGUAAUGGCUCACCAAGACGAUGACGGGUAGCCGGCCUGAGAGGGCGACCGGCCACACUGGGACUGAGACACGGCCCAGACUCCUACGGGAGGCAGCAGUGGGGAAUAUUGCACAAUGGGCGAAAGCCUGAUGCAGCGACGCCGCGUGAGGGAUGACGGCCUUCGGGUUGUAAACCUCUUUCGGUAGGGAAGAAGCGAGAGUGACGGUACCUGCAGAAGAAGCGCCGGCUAACUACGUGCCAGCAGCCGCGGUAAUACGUAGGGCGCAAGCGUUGUCCGGAAUUAUUGGGCGUAAAGAGCUUGUAGGUGGCUUGUCGCGUCUGCCGUGAAAACCCGAGGCUCAACCUCGGGCGUGCGGUGGGUACGGGCAGGCUAGAGUGUGGUAGGGGAGACUGGAACUCCUGGUGUAGCGGUGAAAUGCGCAGAUGUCAGGAAGAACACCGAUGGCGAAGG